UGGGGAAUUUUGGACAAUGGGCGAAAGCCUGAUCCAGCAAUGCCGCGUGUGUGAAGAAGGCCUUCGGGUUGUAAAGCACUUUUGUCCGGAAAGAAAUCCUUGGCUCUAAUACAGUCGGGGGAUGACGGUACCGGAAGAAUAAGCACCGGCUAACUACGUGCCAGCAGCCGCGGUAAUACGUAGGGUGCAAGCGUUAAUCGGAAUUACUGGGCGUAAAGCGUGCGCAGGCGGUUUGCUAAGACCGAUGUGAAAUCCCCGGGCUCAACCUGGGAACUGCAUUGGUGACUGGCAGGCUAGAGUAUGGCAGAGGGGGGUAGAAUUCCACGUGUAGCAGUGAAAUGCGUAGAGAUGUGGAGGAAUACCGAUGGCGAAGGCAGCCCCCUGGGCCAAUACUGACGCUCAUGCACGAAAGCGUGGGGGAGCAAAACAGGAUUAGAUACCCUGGUAGUCCACGCCCUAAACGAUGUCAACUAGUUGUUGGGGAUUCAUUUUCCUAGUAACGUAGCUAACGCGUGAAGUUGACCGCCUGGGGAGUACGGUCGCAAGAUUAAAACUCAAAUGAAUUGAUGGGGUCAUAGCUGUUUCCU
Molecule: ribosomal RNA, 587 nt
Filed under: uncultured bacterium
Lineage: Bacteria
Description: partial 16S ribosomal RNA
Rfam family: Bacterial small subunit ribosomal RNA
Source: RNAcentral